RNAcentral lists this ribosomal RNA (468 nucleotides) under uncultured bacterium. Its description in RNAcentral is "partial 16S ribosomal RNA". It matches the Rfam family "Bacterial small subunit ribosomal RNA", at positions 28 to 507 of the family's 1533-position model. The record is from RNAcentral.
GACGAACGCUGGCGGCGUGCUUAACACAUGCGAGUCGAACGGAAAGGCCCUGCUUUUGUGGGGUGCUCGAGUGGCGAACGGGUGAGUAACACGUGAGUAACCUGCCCUUGACUUUGGGAUAACUUCAGGAAACUGGGGCUAAUACCGGAUAGGAGCUCCUGCUGCAUGGUGGGGGUUGGAAAGUUUCGGCGGUUGGGGAUGGACUCGCGGCUUAUCAGCUUGUUGGUGGGGUAGUGGCUUACCAAGGCUUUGACGGGUAGCCGGCCUGAGAGGGUGACCGGCAACAUUGGGACUGAGAUACGGCCCAGACUCCUACGGGAGGCAGCAGUGGGGAAUAUUGCACAAUGGGCGGAAGCCUGAUGCAGCAACGCCGCGUGCGGGAUGACGGCCUUCGGGUUGUAAACCGAUUUCGCCUGUGACGAAGCGUGAGUGACGGUAAUGGGUAAAGAAGCACCGGCUAACUACGUG